Molecule: ribosomal RNA, 207 nt
Filed under: uncultured bacterium
Lineage: Bacteria
Description: partial 16S ribosomal RNA
Rfam family: Bacterial small subunit ribosomal RNA
Source: RNAcentral
CUCGUAGGCGGUUUGUCGCGUCGGGAGUGAAAACAUCCAGCUUAACUGGGUGCUUGCUUUCGAUACGGGCAGACUAGAGGUAUGCAGGGGAGAACGGAAUUCCUGGUGUAGCGGUGAAAUGCGCAGAUAUCAGGAGGAACACCGGUGGCGAAGGCGGUUCUCUGGGCAUGAUCUGACGCUGAGGAGCGAAAGUGUGGGGAGCGAACA